CCUACGGGUGGCAGCAGUGAGGAAUAUUGGUCAAUGGACGAGAGUCUGAACCAGCCACGUAGCGUGAAGGAUGACUGCCCUAUGGGUUGUAAACUUCUUUUAUAUGGGAAUAAAACGUUCCACGUGUGGGAUUUUGUAUGUACCAUAUGAAUAAGGAUCGGCUAACUCCGUGCCAGCAGCCGCGGUAAUAUGGAGGGUACGAGCGUUAACCGGAUUUAUUGGGUUCAAAGGGAGCGUAGGUGGAUUGUUAAGUCAGUUGUGAAAGCUUGCGGCUCAACCGUAAAAUUGCAGUUGAAACUGGCAGGCUUGAGUACAGUAGAGGUUGGCGGAAUUCGUGGUGUAGCGGUGAAAUGCUUAGAUAUCACGAAGAACUCCAGUUGCGAAGGCAGCUCACUGGACUGCAACUGACGCUGAGGCUCGAAAGUGUGGGUAGCAAACAGGAUUAGAUACCCUGGUAGUC
Molecule: ribosomal RNA, 460 nt
Filed under: uncultured bacterium
Lineage: Bacteria
Description: partial 16S ribosomal RNA
Rfam family: Bacterial small subunit ribosomal RNA
Source: RNAcentral